This is a small nuclear RNA of Cornus florida, 98 nucleotides long. NCBI's taxonomy places the organism in Eukaryota, Viridiplantae, Streptophyta, Magnoliopsida, Cornales, Cornaceae. The record is from RefSeq and is a predicted model, not a curated record.
GUUCUUUUUGGGACAUCCGAUAAAAUUGGAAUGAUACAUGUGCAUAAAAGAUUAGCGCAAGGUUGACAAGCACAAAUUGAGAAAUGGUCCAAAUUUUU